UACGUAGGGGGCAAGCGUUGUCCGGAUUUAUUGGGCGUAAAGAGCGUGUAGGCGGCCAGAUAGGUCCGUUGUGAAAACUCAAGGCUCAACCUCGAGACGCCGAUGGAAACCAUUUGGCUAGCGUCCGGAAGAGGAGAGUGGAAUUCCUGGUGUAGCGGUGAAAUGCGCAGAUAUCAGGAAGAACACCCGUGGCUAAGGCGGCUCUCUAGUACGGUACUGACGCUGAGACGCGAAAGCGUGGGGAGCGAACAGG
This 253-nucleotide ribosomal RNA is filed under the name uncultured bacterium. Its description in RNAcentral is "partial 16S ribosomal RNA". It matches the Rfam family "Bacterial small subunit ribosomal RNA", at positions 524 to 776 of the family's 1533-position model. The record is from RNAcentral.